Molecule: non-coding RNA, 242 nt
Organism: Pelobates cultripes (western spadefoot toad)
Lineage: Eukaryota; Metazoa; Chordata; Amphibia; Anura; Pelobatidae
Source: the annotation of a GenBank genome assembly
UCUAAUUGCAAACGUUUGAAAUGACGAUGAUCUUGAUUUUGUUGAUUUAUACAUGCAUGGUAGACAUGCUCUAAGCUCAAGCAAUCCUGGAAAGACGGAGUCUGUUUAGUUUCAAGAAUUUGAGGGAUAGGACCACAAUUGGACCCUUUCAGCUUCCUAGAUGUCACAAUAAACUCACUAGAGAUGAGAAUAAACUCAAAACCAGAAUUUCUCUCUCAUCUUGUCAAUCCAUGGAAAAUCAC